Molecule: ribosomal RNA, 389 nt
Filed under: uncultured bacterium
Lineage: Bacteria
Description: bacterial SSU rRNA
Rfam family: Bacterial small subunit ribosomal RNA
Source: RNAcentral
AUUGAACGCUGGCGGCAUGCCUUACACAUGCAAGUCGAACGGCAGCACGGGAGCAAUCCUGGUGGCGAGUGGCGAACGGGUGAGUAAUAUAUCGGAACGUGCCCAGUUGUGGGGGAUAGCCCGGCGAAAGCCGGAUUAAUACCGCAUAAGACCUACGGGUGAAAGCGGGGGAUUCGCAAGAACCUCGCGCGGCUGGAGCGGCCGAUAUCAGAUUAGCUUGUUGGCGGGGUAAAAGCCCACCAAGGCGACGAUCUGUAGCUGGUCUGAGAGGACGACCAGCCACACUGGGACUGAGACACGGCCCAGACUCCUACGGGAGGCAGCAGUGGGGAAUUUUGGACAAUGGGCGCAAGCCUGAUCCAGCCAUGCCGCGUGUGGGAAGAAGGCCU